RNAcentral lists this microRNA (22 nucleotides) under Dasypus novemcinctus (nine-banded armadillo). Its description in RNAcentral is "dno-miR-432-3p". Its record names the gene dno-miR-432-3p. The record is from miRBase by way of RNAcentral. Lineage: Eukaryota; Metazoa; Chordata; Mammalia; Cingulata; Dasypodidae.
ACUGGAUGGCUCCUCCAUGGCU